GACGGACGCUGGCGGCGUGCUUAACACAUGCAAGUCGAACGGAAAGGCCCCAGCUUGCUGGUGUACUCGAGUGGCGAACGGGUGAGUAACACGUGGGUGAUCUUCCCUGCACUCGGGGAUAAGCCGGGGAAACUGGGUCUAAUACCGGAUAGGACCGUGCUUUAGUGUGUGCGGUGGAAAGUUUUUCGGCGCAGGAUGAGCCCGCGGGCUAUCAGCUUGGUGGGGGGGUGAUGGCCUACCAAGGCGGCGACGGGUAGCCGGCCUGAGAGGGUGUACGGCCACAUUGGGACUGAGACACGGCCCAGACUCCUACGGGAGGCAGCAGUGGGGAAUAUUGCACAAUGGGCGCAAGCCUGAUGAAGCGACGCCGCGUGGGGGAUGACGGCCUUCGGGUUGUAAACCCCUUUCGGCAGGGAAGAAGCUUUUGUGACGGUAACUGCAUAAGAAGCACCGGCUAACUACGUG
Molecule: ribosomal RNA, 465 nt
Filed under: uncultured bacterium
Lineage: Bacteria
Description: partial 16S ribosomal RNA
Rfam family: Bacterial small subunit ribosomal RNA
Source: RNAcentral